GAUGAACGCUAGCGGGAGGCUUAAUACAUGCAAGUCGAGGGGUAACAUGAGAGCUUGCUCUUGAUGACGACCGGCGCACGGGUGAGUAACGCGUACACAACCUACCUUUAAGUGGGGGAUAGCCUUUGGAAACGAAGAUUAAUACCCCAUAGUAUUAUCAUAUUAAUGAUUAGAUAAUUAAAGCUCCGGCGCUUAAAGAUGGGUGUGCGUCCCAUUAGUUAGUUGGUAGGGUAACGGCCUACCAAGACGAUGAUGGGUAGGGGGCGUGAGAGCGUGACCCCCCACACGGGUACUGAGACACGGACCCGACUCCUACGGGAGGCAGCAGUAAGGAAUAUUGGACAAUGGGCGAAAGCCUGAUCCAGCCAUCCCGCGUGCAGGAUGACGGCCCUAUGGGUUGUAAACUGCUUUUAGAUAAGAAGAAACCCCCUCUUUUAAGAGGGGCUGACGGUACUAUCAGAAUAAGCACCGGCUAACUCCG
Molecule: ribosomal RNA, 481 nt
Filed under: uncultured Saprospiraceae bacterium
Lineage: Bacteria; Pseudomonadati; Bacteroidota; Saprospiria; Saprospirales; Saprospiraceae
Description: bacterial SSU rRNA
Rfam family: Bacterial small subunit ribosomal RNA
Source: RNAcentral